Molecule: long non-coding RNA, 916 nt
Organism: Teleopsis dalmanni
Lineage: Eukaryota; Metazoa; Arthropoda; Insecta; Diptera; Diopsidae
Exons: 3
Source: RefSeq, a predicted model, not a curated record
GAAACGGAUUUAGAUAUACUCUCGAUUUAUAAACUGAAAAAUGUGAUCUAUUAAAAGCUUCUAGAAGUCGUCAGUUAUAUAUGGUAGAGUUAAUUCUCAACUACGAUUAAUUAACACUCGAAACUCCUGCCACGUCCUUAUUAGUUGUACGAAAGCAAUAUACUUCUUAGGAAAUAAGGAAGAGCCGUCAAGUAUAUGUACCGGAAAAAAUUAUCACCAACAACCAAGUGAUACUCACAACCUCUAGUGAGUUCCCACCAGUCGCAAAGCAAGACUAUACUUGUCAUUGAAAUAGAAAUUACCUAUGAUUAAUAACUGAUUUAUAAGCUGAAAAAGAUGAUUAAGAUACUUCAGAAGCAGGAGUAUAACUGUAGCAAAAUUGUCAUCGAUAAUCUUAGUGAAACUCAUAACCUUUGGUGGAUUUCCGCUGAUUGCAAUACUAAUAAUAAUACUUAAACGAAAACGGAGAACUGCACACGAUUUGUCGUCAAAAUCUACGCUAAAAAAUAUAACCAAUUUUUGGAAUUUUGCCUUUUGGAGCAGCCGAAUAUAUGUGACGGAACCAAUUGUCAACGAUGACCAAGUGACAUUCACAACUUCUGCAGUUUCCAACGAUUCAAUGCAAAGCGAGACUUGCAGAAAAGAUAAAACUAUUUGUUAUCGAAUUAUAAGCUGAGAAAUAAGACAAAUUUGAUAUGUUUUGAAGAUCGGCGCAGUAUACCUGCCAGUAUUGAUUGUAAUCUAUUACUUAUUGACGCUCAAAAAUACUGUUAAAAUAUUACUUCCCAUGAAAGAAGGUUCCAACAGCUGUCAAGUGAUUGUCAUCAACAACCUCAACUUUGGGAGUGGGACUCCCAACUUUUAUAAGAUUGCCAACGUUCGCUCAUCAAAGUAAACUGCUUAAGAAAAAGCUAAC